Non-coding RNA from Pelobates cultripes (western spadefoot toad), 215 nucleotides. NCBI's taxonomy places the organism in Eukaryota, Metazoa, Chordata, Amphibia, Anura, Pelobatidae. The record is from the annotation of a GenBank genome assembly.
CCCCCCCCCUGCCAUGGCUGCUCUCUGUCCCUAAUACCAGCAGUGUCCCCCCCCUCCCAUGGCUGCUCUCUGUCCCUAAUACCAGCAGUGUCCCCCCUCCCAUGGCUGCUCUCUGUCCCUAAUACCAGCAGUGUCCCCCCUCCCAUGGCUGCUCUCUGUCCCUAAUACCAGCAGUGUCCCUCCUCCCAUGGCCGCUCUCUGUCCCUAAUACCAGC